GACGAACGCUGGCGGCGUGCUUAACACAUGCAAGUCGAACGGAAAGGCCCUGCUUUUGUGGUGUUCUCGAGUGGCGAACGGGUGAGUAACACGUGAGUAACCUGCCCUUGACUUUGGGAUAACUUCACGAAACUGGGGCUAAUACCGGAUAGGAUCUCCUGCUGCAUGGUGGGGGUUGGAACGUUUCGGCGUUUGGGGAUGGACUCGCGGCUUAUCAGCUUGUUGGUGGGGUAGUGGCUUACCAAGGCUUUGACGGGUAGCCGGCCUGGGAGGGUGACCGGCCACAUGGGGACUGAGAGACGGACCAGACUCGUACGGGAGGCAGAAGGGGGGAAUAUUGCACAAUGGGCGGAAGCCUGAUGCAGAAACGCCGCGUGCGGGAUGACGGCCUUCGGGUUGUAAACAGCUGUCGCCUGUGACGAAGCGUGAGUGACGGUAAUGGGUAAAGAAGCACCGGCUAACUACGUG
RNAcentral lists this ribosomal RNA (468 nucleotides) under uncultured bacterium. RNAcentral describes it as "partial 16S ribosomal RNA". It matches the Rfam family "Bacterial small subunit ribosomal RNA", at positions 28 to 507 of the family's 1533-position model. The record is from RNAcentral.